CCUACGGGUGGCUGCAGUGGGGAAUAUUGGACAAUGGGGGGAACCCUGAUCCAGCCAUGCCGCGUGUGUGAAGAAGGCCCUCGGGUUGUAAAGCACUUUCAGUGAGGAAGAACGCCUGGUGGUUAAUACCCAUCAGGAAAGACAUCACUCACAGAAGAAGCACCGGCUAACUCCGUGCCAGCAGCCGCGGUAAUACGGAGGGUGCGAGCGUUAAUCGGAAUUACUGGGCGUAAAGCGCGCGUAGGUGGCUUGAUAAGCCGGUUGUGAAAGCCCCGGGAUCAACCUGGGAACGGCAUCCGGAACUGUCAAGCUAGAGUGCAGGAGAGGAAGGUAGAAUUCCCGGUGUAGCGGUGAAAUGCGUAGAGAUCGGGAGGAAUACCAGUGGCGAAGGCGGCCUUCUGGACUGACACUGACACUGAGGUGCGAAAGCGUGGGUAGCAAACAGGAUUAGAUACCCCUGUAGUC
RNAcentral lists this ribosomal RNA (465 nucleotides) under Vreelandella stevensii. RNAcentral describes it as "partial 16S ribosomal RNA". It matches the Rfam family "Bacterial small subunit ribosomal RNA", at positions 338 to 795 of the family's 1533-position model. The record is from RNAcentral. Lineage: Bacteria; Pseudomonadati; Pseudomonadota; Gammaproteobacteria; Oceanospirillales; Halomonadaceae.